CACUAACACACAGAUCAGCAUUAGAGCACUGAGAGCUUAAACUCACUUCUGACUCCAUCUGAUCAUAUUCACAAUGAAGAGAAACCUCCUCAUCAUCCUCAUCAUCACAUCAGGUGUAUUUGGUGCUGAUGAAAUUGUUUCUAAAAAAGGAGAAUCUGUUACAUUGAGUUGCUCUUUGGGAAGAAGUGGAGCUCUUUUCUGGUACAGACAGUAUCCUAACAGAGCUCUACAGUAUUUACAGCUCCAGCAUUCAGAAGCUGUGCGACUGUGUUCUGAGGCCCACUGUAACAAAACCACAUUCACAGAAGUACAUGCAUGUCUCUACUG
Long non-coding RNA from Pygocentrus nattereri (red-bellied piranha), 327 nucleotides. RefSeq lists it as uncharacterized. The record is from RefSeq and is a predicted model, not a curated record. The transcript has 3 exons. NCBI's taxonomy places the organism in Eukaryota, Metazoa, Chordata, Actinopteri, Characiformes, Serrasalmidae.